Molecule: long non-coding RNA, 291 nt
Organism: Sebastes umbrosus (honeycomb rockfish)
Lineage: Eukaryota; Metazoa; Chordata; Actinopteri; Perciformes; Sebastidae
Exons: 3
Source: RefSeq, a predicted model, not a curated record
AUGUGCUUCUGUUAGGAUUACUUGAUUAUGGCAAAAAUCAUAAUCGUGAUUAUUUUUGGUCAAUAAUGAGAUCAAGAUUAUUUAACAUGAUUCCUCAUUGACUUUGGAAACAUCAUGCAAUUAGAAAGAACAUUUUGCACCCUACAUUUUAAAGUUAAAUGCAUCAAUUUGGUGCAUUUUGAGAGCAUAAUUAAGAGACUAGAUUUAUAAAGACCCACCGAACGGGGCGAAAGCUCACCGCUGUAAAGGAAAGGGGUGAACUGGAUUUAUGACAAGACAAAACGAAAGCGU